AUGGCGACAUACGCCUCCUCCCAACGUCAACCGCACGCUCGUACGCGGUCUCGAUGUGCCCGACGCGUCCAGUAUGCACCCAUAACACGCACCGGUCGCGCCCGCCUCGCCGCCACGGCUUAUUGCCCUGCACCGCUGUGGCCUCAACCGCAGCGCAGUACCUCCAUGCCGCCAUGCCACUGUGUGUCGUUGAAGCCGCGACCACGAAGGUCCUCCACGGCCUCCUCACUGUGCUGCCACGACCACCACGGCCUCCUCGCCGCGCCGCGCAAUUCCAUAGACCGACACACGGCCCGUAGCAUCGCGCAGCCGCCGGCGAACUCCGCCACCGCAGGCACACCUCCGGUAAGGAGAACGACGCCCAAGAUAAACCAGCUCAUGAUACCAAUUGUUGGUCCCUAG
RNAcentral lists this ribosomal RNA (402 nucleotides) under Triticum aestivum (bread wheat). RNAcentral's name for it is "partial small subunit ribosomal RNA". Lineage: Eukaryota; Viridiplantae; Streptophyta; Magnoliopsida; Poales; Poaceae. The record is from RNAcentral.